CCUACGGGGCGCAGCAGUGGGGGAUAUUGCACAAUGGGGGAAACCCUGAUGCAGCGACGCCGCGUGGGCGAAGAAGUAUUUCGGUAUGUAAAGCCCUAUCAGCAGGGAAGAAGAAAUGACGGUACCUGAGUAAGAAGCACCGGCUAAAUACGUGCCAGCAGCCGCGGUAAUACGUAUGGUGCAAGCGUUAUCCGGAUUUACUGGGUGUAAAGGGAGCGCAGGCGGCACGGCAAGCCUGAUGUGAAAGCCCGCGGCCCAACCGCGGGACUGCAUUGGGAACUGUUUUGCUGGAGUAUGGGAGGGGG
Molecule: ribosomal RNA, 305 nt
Filed under: uncultured bacterium
Lineage: Bacteria
Description: bacterial SSU rRNA
Rfam family: Bacterial small subunit ribosomal RNA
Source: RNAcentral